GGGCCCGCACAAGCGGUGGAGUAUGUGGUUUAAUUCGAUGCAACGCGAAGAACCUUACCAGGGUUUGACAUCCUGCGAAUCUCUUGGAAACAGGAGAGUGCCUUCGGGAGCGCAGUGACAGGUGGUGCAUGGCUGUCGUCAGCUCGUGUCGUGAGAUGUUGGGUUAAGUCCCGCAACGAGCGCAACCCACGUCUUUAGUUGCCAGCAUUUAGUUGGGCACUCUAGAGAGACUGCCGGUGAUAAACCGGAGGAAGGUGGGGACGACGUCAAGUCCUCAUGGGCCCUUACGGGGAUGGGGCUACACAACGUGCUACAAUGGCAGUGACAAUGGGUUAACCCCAAAAAUCUGUCUC
RNAcentral lists this ribosomal RNA (353 nucleotides) under uncultured bacterium. Its description in RNAcentral is "bacterial SSU rRNA". It matches the Rfam family "Bacterial small subunit ribosomal RNA", at positions 917 to 1289 of the family's 1533-position model. The record is from RNAcentral.